GAUCUGGCUGCGACAUCUGUCACCCCAUUGAUCGCCAGGGUUGAUUUGGCUGAUCUGGCUGGCUAGGCGGGUGUCCCCUUCCUCCCACACCGCUCCAUGUGCGUCCCUCCCAAAGCUGCGCGCUCGGUCGAAGAGGACAACCAUCCCCGAUAGAGGGAGGACCGUUGUGUAGGGAAGAGUGAACUUGAGAAUCUCUAGGG
Long non-coding RNA from Perognathus longimembris pacificus (Pacific pocket mouse), 200 nucleotides. RefSeq lists it as uncharacterized. The transcript is spliced from 3 exons. NCBI's taxonomy places the organism in Eukaryota, Metazoa, Chordata, Mammalia, Rodentia, Heteromyidae. The record is from RefSeq and is a predicted model, not a curated record.